UCUUCAUAACCCCAGCAGUGUCUCAGUCUCAGAGUAGCCAGCAGAGACAGGGGACAGCUUGCUGGGUAAAUAGUGAACGUGAGUGCGGGCAUGAACGAUCAACGACGACGUGUGCACGCAUACUUGUAACUCUUUCUCGCCCUCAACUGAAAAGCGAGUAGACGAGAGGAUAUUUGAUCGAAAUAAGAGCACAAGGCUAGGCUCUACUGUUUAGUGAAUGCGUGCUGUGCGUGUGUGGUGGUAAAGAAAGCGUCGUCGAUAAGGGAAUAAUCCUAGCUCGAUCUGAAUUGAGAGUGACGGCUGCUGCUGCUUCUCCUGCUACUGCUAUCUGACAACGUCGUCGGCGAGUCUUGGUGGAGGCGCGGCCGUGACACGCGCGCGCACAGUCCAACACGCAAGAACUGAGUGAGAGUGAGAGAAAAAAAGCGAUACACACGCUACUUUAACGGGACCCUCGUCGAGGACGCGCCAAAGAUAUCGUCAUGUCCAACGAGGAGACCUCCGCCGAUCGCAAUGUCGAAAUCUGGAAGAUCAAGAAGCUCAUCAAGAGCUUGGAGAUGGCAAGGGGGAAUGGAACCAGCAUGAUUUCAUUAAUCAUUCCACCAAAGGAUCAAAUAUCUCGUGUAAGCAAAAUGCUGGCUGAUGAAUUUGGUACAGCAUCAAAUAUCAAGUCUCGAGUCAAUAGACUAUCCGUCCUGGGAGCCAUCACAUCGGUACAGCAUAGGCUAAAGCUUUAUACCAAAGUACCUCCAAAUGGCCUGGUAAUCUACUGUGGCACAAUUGUCACUGAGGAAGGAAAAGAAAAGAAAGUGAAUAUAGACUUUGAACCUUUUAAACCUAUUAAUACAUCUUUGUAUCUUUGUGACAAUAAGUUUCACACUGAAGCAUUGACAGCGCUUCUAGCAGACGAUAAUAAAUUUGGUUUUAUUGUUAUGGAUGGUAAUGGUGCACUAUUUGGUACACUACAAGGAAACACAAGAGAAGUUCUUCACAAAUUCACUGUUGAUUUACCGAAAAAGCACGGCAGAGGAGGUCAAUCUGCUCUUCGUUUUGCUCGGUUGCGUAUGGAAAAACGUCAUAAUUACGUACGAAAAGUUGCUGAAGUAGCGACUCAACUUUUUAUCACUAACGAUAAGCCUAACAUUGCUGGUUUAAUUCUUGCUGGUAGUGCAGACUUCAAAACUGAGCUUAGUCAGUCCGACAUGUUUGAUCCUAGAUUGCAAGCUAAAAUUAUUAAAUUAGUGGAUGUAUCUUAUGGUGGAGAAAACGGUUUUAACCAGGCUAUUGAAUUAGCAGCAGAAUCAUUACAAAAUGUUAAAUUUAUUCAAGAAAAGAAGCUCAUUGGUCGUUACUUCGACGAAAUUUCGCAAGACACGGGGAAAUAUUGUUUCGGAGUUGAAGACACGCUGAGAGCACUUGAAUUAGGUAGUGUGGAAACGUUAAUUUGUUGGGAGAAUCUCGACAUUCAAAGAUAUGUACUCAAAAAUCAUACGACUGGCGAGGAAAAGGUACUUCACCUGACGCCAGAACAGGAAAAGGAUAAGACUCACUUCACAGAUAAAGAGAGCGGAGUAGAAUUGGAAUUAGUGGAAUGUCAGCCCCUGCUAGAAUGGCUCGCAAACAACUACAAAAGCUUUGGUGCGACUCUAGAAAUUAUUACAGACAAAUCUCAGGAAGGAUCGCAAUUUGUCAGAGGGUUUGGUGGUAUUGGAGGAAUACUCCGCUACAAAGUCGACUUCCAGUCAUUGCAGGCUGACGAGCCUCUCGAUGACGUCGAUCUCGAUGAUUAUUAAAUUCGCGUCUCUGUCGUUCGGUCAGAGUCGACCAGCUUGCACAAUGGAAAUUAAUAGCCCAGAAAAUGUAUUUUGCGGUACAAGGUAGAUUUUCAAAGUAUGCAGCUGGAAGAGUUUGAGUUUGAUAACUUCGACUACGACGACUAUUAAAUUUAUCGGACUCCAGUUUUGGGUGUUUAUUUCGGGCAAAUACAUGCAGAAUGAUAAAGUUGAAUAGAAAAAAAAUAGGAGCAGCCACAGACUACGUGAAUAGUAUCAAGGAAACAAAAUGAACCGCCGAACGCGCGCCGACACGUCACCUCUUUCUCUCCAUCAUUCCAAAGUGAAACGAAGUUUAAGAUAGGAUCAAAAAAAGUACUUCUAUUUUUUUCUAUAGAAAAACGAAUGAAAGAAAAAAUGUGGUUCUGUGAACUUUCCAAUACUACGAAGGAUCGAGAGAAAGAGACAAUAUUGGUGCUGUGCAGUAAAUAAUAAAAAAUGGAGUAAUUUAAAAAAAUUUAUAACAGUCUGUGCUUGUGAGUCAAAGACUCGAUCGUGGAAGACUGCAACAACUUAAACUAAGUAACAAAAAAGCCAGCUUGAAGCCUGCCUAUGACGUUGAAUUGACGACCCGCCCCCGUCGCAUUUUCUAUCGUAACGUUGACUCGUCGUCGAGGCUGCUCUGAGACUCGUUGAACACAAUUAACGAAUAAUAAAAAAUCAAUAAUAUUUAAACAAGUUUUAUAAAUUAGUAUGAAUUGAUGAAAGUUCUUCAUACAUCCAGACCCUCGUAUUAGUUUACUUUAUUGUUGCAAUUCUAUUAAUAUUAAUAAGUAACUGUGGGAAAUGAAUUCUCUCUUUCUCUCUCUCUCUCUCUGUCUCUCUUUCUCUUUCUCUCACUCUGUUUCUUAUUGUUUUUCGUGCUUUAUUCUUUUUUAAAAUCGAAUUAAAAACUGUUGGUUAAUGAAUUUAAUUGAUAUCUUCUCGAAGCCUGUAAUAUCAAUUUUUCCAGCAGUGGUAGAUGCUGCAUGAGGCAGCCUUGACGAAACCGGUCGACCUGCCAAGCGUUACCUCUGUUCUUGUGGAGAAACGUGGACGAAAUGUAAUAAACUGAUUGCUAUUACCGAAAUGGUGUACAAUAUUAAGAUACUUUGCAUAAAAAACAAUGUUACAUAAUUUAAAGAAAUGAAAAAUAUUGAAUUAAAAAGAAAGAAUUUUAAA
Molecule: RNA transcript, 2993 nt
Organism: Phymastichus coffea
Lineage: Eukaryota; Metazoa; Arthropoda; Insecta; Hymenoptera; Eulophidae
Gene: eRF1
Gene name: eukaryotic peptide chain release factor subunit 1
Exons: 12
Source: RefSeq, a predicted model, not a curated record